GAGUUUGAUCGUGGCUCAGGAUGAACGCUGGCGGCGUGCUUAACACAUGCAAGUCGAACGAAGCGCCUUAUUUGAUUUUCUUCGGAACUGAAGAUUUGGUGACUGAGUGGCGGACGGGUGAGUAACGCGUGGGUAACCUGCCCUGUACAGGGGGAUAACAAUCAGAAAUGACUGCUAAUACCGCAUAAGACCACAGCACCGCAUGGUGCAGGGGUAAAAACUCCGGUGGUACAGGAUGGACCCGCGUCUGAUUAGCUGGUUGGUGAGGUAACGGCUCACCAAGGCGACGAUCAGUAGCCGGCUUGAGAGAGUGGACGGCCACAUUGGGACUGAGCCACGGCCCAAACUCCUACGGGAGGCAGCAGUGGGGAAUAUUGCACAAUGGGGGAAACCCUGAUGCAGCAACGCCGCGUGAGUGAAGAAGUAUUUCGGUAUGUAAAGCUCUAUCAGCAGGGAAGAAAGUGACGGUACCUGACUAAGAAGCCCCGGCUAACUACGUGCCAGCAGCCGCCGUAAGACC
RNAcentral lists this ribosomal RNA (520 nucleotides) under uncultured microorganism. RNAcentral's name for it is "bacterial SSU rRNA". It matches the Rfam family "Bacterial small subunit ribosomal RNA", at positions 9 to 527 of the family's 1533-position model. The record is from RNAcentral.